GACGAACGCUGGCGGCGUGCUUAACACAUGCAAGUCGAACGGAAAGGCCUCUUUGGGGGGGUACUCGAGUGGCGAACGGGUGAGUAACACGUGAGUAACCUGCCCUUGACUUUGGGAUAACUUCAGGAAACUGGGGCUAAUACCGGAUAGGAGCUCCUGCUGCAUGGUGGGGGUUGGAAAGUUUCGGCGGUUGGGGAUGGACUCGCGGCUUAUCAGCUUGUUGGUGGGGUAGUGGCUUACCAAGGCUUUGACGGGUAGCCGGCCUGAGAGGGUGACCGGCCACAUUGGGACUGAGAUACGGCCCAGACGCCUACGGGAGGCAGCAGGGGGGAAUAUUGCACAAUGGGUGGAAGCCGGAUGCAGCAACGCCGGGUGCGGGAGGACGGCCUUCGGGUUGUAAACCGCUUUCGCUCAUGACGAAGCUUUGUGUGACGGUAGUGGGUAAAGAAGCACCGGCUAACUACGUG
This 467-nucleotide ribosomal RNA is filed under the name uncultured bacterium. RNAcentral's name for it is "partial 16S ribosomal RNA". It matches the Rfam family "Bacterial small subunit ribosomal RNA", at positions 28 to 507 of the family's 1533-position model. The record is from RNAcentral.